Long non-coding RNA from Herpailurus yagouaroundi (jaguarundi), 228 nucleotides. RefSeq lists it as uncharacterized. Lineage: Eukaryota; Metazoa; Chordata; Mammalia; Carnivora; Felidae. The transcript has 3 exons. The record is from RefSeq and is a predicted model, not a curated record.
UGCCUCUUGAAGGAUACUUUUAUGUUUGACAGGGAGUCAAGAUCCUGUCUAUACCAGAAGUAAAGGCAUUCCGGCAUAUUUACACUCAAGAUAUUGCAUGGAUUGGAAACAAGAAGGCAUGUAUAUAGGCAACAAACUUUCAUAGUUGCAUCUUUCCUGUUGAUGUUUACAUUCAGGAUUUCAUUAUUUUAUCAGAUCCUAAAUCUUCUGAAUCAACAUAUAUUAAGG